Molecule: ribosomal RNA, 853 nt
Filed under: Lasiodiplodia pseudotheobromae
Lineage: Eukaryota; Fungi; Ascomycota; Dothideomycetes; Botryosphaeriales; Botryosphaeriaceae
Description: eukaryotic LSU rRNA
Rfam family: Eukaryotic large subunit ribosomal RNA
Source: RNAcentral
UGCCUUAGUAACGGCGAGUGAAGCGGCAACAGCUCAAAUUUGAAAGCUGGCCCUUUUAGGGUCCGCGUUGUAAUUUGUAGAGGAUGAUUCGGCGAGGGCUCCUGCCUAAGUCCCCUGGAACGGGGCGUCAUAGAGGGUGAGAAUCCCGUAUGCGGUAGGUUGCCUUAGCCAUGUGAAUCUCCUUCGACGAGUCGAGUUGUUUGGGAAUGCAGCUCUAAAUGGGAGGUAAAUUUCUUCUAAAGCUAAAUACUGGCCAGAGACCGAUAGCGCACAAGUAGAGUGAUCGAAAGAUGAAAAGCACUUUGGAAAGAGAGUUAAAAAGUACGUGAAAUUGUUGAAAGGGAAGCGCUUGCAACCAGACUUGUCCGCAGUUGCUCAGCCGGUCUCCUGACCGGCGUACUCUUCUGCGGCCAGGCCAGCAUCAGUUCGGGCGGUCGGAUAAAGGCCUCGGGAAUGUAGCUCCUCUCGGGGAGUGUUAUAGCCCGGGGUGGAAUGCGACCAGCCUGGACUGAGGAUCUCGCUUCGGCAAGGAUGCUGGCGUAAUGGUUGUAAGCGGCCCGUCUUGAAACACGGACCAAGGAGUCUAACAUCUAUGCGAGUGUUCGGGUGUCAAACCCGUACGCGUAAUGAAAGUGAACGGAGGUGGGAACCCGCAAGGGUGCACCAUCGGCCGAUCCUGAUGUCUUCGGAUGGAUUUGAGCAAGAGCAUAGCUGUUGGGACCCGAAAGAUGGUGAACUAUGCCUGAAUAGGGUGAAGCCAGAGGAAACUCUGGUGGAGGCUCGCAGCGGUUCUGACGUGCAAAUCGAUCGUCAAAUUUGGGUAUAGGGGCGAAAGACUAAUCGAACCAUCUAG